GACUGAGUGGCUCAGAUGAUAAAGAAUCUGCUUUAAAUGCAGGAGACCCAGGUUCAAUUCCUGGGUCA
Molecule: transfer RNA, 68 nt
Filed under: Bos taurus (domestic cattle)
Lineage: Eukaryota; Metazoa; Chordata; Mammalia; Artiodactyla; Bovidae
Also listed under: 4 other names
Rfam family: tRNA
About the family: Transfer RNA (tRNA) molecules are approximately 80 nucleotides in length. Their secondary structure includes four short double-helical elements and three loops (D, anti-codon, and T loops).
Source: Rfam by way of RNAcentral